GUGCUCGCUUCAGCAGCACAUAUUCUAAAAUUGGAACGCUACAGAGAAGAUUAGCAUGGCCCCUGCGCAAGGAUGACACUCAAAGAAAUAAAACCUUAAAAGAAAAA
Zalophus californianus (California sea lion) is the source of this 107-nucleotide small nuclear RNA. Lineage: Eukaryota; Metazoa; Chordata; Mammalia; Carnivora; Otariidae. The record is from Ensembl.